RNAcentral lists this transfer-messenger RNA (248 nucleotides) under Truepera sp. It matches the Rfam family "transfer-messenger RNA", at positions 1 to 267 of the family's 374-position model. Rfam says of the family: Bacterial tmRNA, also known as 10Sa RNA or SsrA, is named for its dual tRNA and mRNA-like properties. Its role is to liberate the mRNA from a stalled ribosome. The record is from Rfam by way of RNAcentral. Lineage: Bacteria; Thermotogati; Deinococcota; Deinococci; Trueperales; Trueperaceae.
GGGGGCGACCUGGUUUCGACGGGGUUCGCCGAGGAUGCGGUAGCGCGUAGAGGGUGCCGUUGGCCUCUUAAAAAAACGGCAACGCCAAUAACUGGCAAGAACUACGCACCACUCGCUGCUUAAGCCAGCGACGUCACUUAACAGCCCCGCUCGUGGCUUGUUAAGCUGACGCAACAAAACGAGCUAGCCGCAUGCAGUAGCGUCGGCCUGCGGCGAAGUUAAAGGCGCUUAGGUGACGCGCAGAAGCC